GCCCGGCCAUCUCACUUGCUCGUUUCCAGGAACUGGACACAGCCCCUGGGCAGGAUGGUCCCUGUCCCCGCCUGCUCUCCGCUCUUAAGUGGCUACUUAAUCUGUCGGUUCUCUGGCCGGGAGUUCGUUACAUCACGGAGCCAGCGAGCCCUGGAGGAGACACUGCCGCCAGGGAGGCAGAGUGGGGGGGGCAGGCACCGCCAGGCUGUGCCAGGCAGAGCCGGAGCCUGGCCCCUGCCUAGGCCUUGAGGAACAGGCCAUCCCAGCACACCCAGGGGACCAGGAACUGGGGCCCACACGUCCCCCGGAGGGGCUGCAGGAGCCUUCGAGGUCUGGUUCUCUGUUGGAGGUACAGGAGCCUAGGGCACUGAGACCCGGACUGCCUGCCACCCGGGCUGCAGUGCUGGCUUCCUGGGGAGGCCCGUGGUAUGCCUGGGAACCCGCUUUGAGGACCGCUCCACAGAGUGGGGACGUUUCCAAGGUCACGUGUGUGUGUGCCCAAGAGGACAUGGUCUCCCCGAGUCUUGGGCUCAGCCCUGGGCCUUUGCCUCUGAUGCUGCCCUGCUGGAGUCCCCAGGCCUGUACUCUGCCACCAGCCACAGCACCCUGGACCCCUCGCCUGACACCCAUUGUGUUUCUGGGGCGCCCGGCUCGCUGUCCACUGCAGGGCAGGACUGGACUCCCAGCGCGGUCCCUGCCUCAUCACCACAGCUGCCUGGGCACUCCCCCCAAUCUGCGUCCACUGGCCCUGCCUCUGGAUUGAACCAGAUUUGCUCGACAGAGCAGGUCACAGAUGGCUGAGCUCCAAGCACCACACUGAAUCCGCCCCAGUGACAGGACACGACGUGUUGCUGCACCUGUGCUGCCCCGGGUCCCCAUCCUGUCUGUCUCUUGGCACCAUUCCCUGGACCUCUCAGCGCUCAUAGGUUGAACAAUACGGUGCAGCCACUGUUUGUACGACACUGACACUGAACCAUCCAGGGCAAAGAACAGUCCCAGCUGUGGACGGUGACCGUGUAGGGAGCCGGGCCUGAAGUGCUCACCCCCGGCUGUGAUAACAUUUUCAG
This 1067-nucleotide long non-coding RNA is filed under the name Heterocephalus glaber (naked mole-rat). Its description in RNAcentral is "lncRNA (ENSHGLG00000033975.1)". Lineage: Eukaryota; Metazoa; Chordata; Mammalia; Rodentia; Bathyergidae. The record is from RNAcentral.